GAAUUCGCCCUUAGAGUUUGAUCCUGGCUCAGGAUGAACGCUGGCGGCGUGCCUAACACAUGCAAGUCGAGCGAUCUUCUUCGGAAGAGAGCGGCGGACGGGUGAGUAACGCGUGGGUAACCUGCCUCAUACACAUGGAUAACAUACCGAAAGGUAUGCUAAUACAAGAUGAUAUAAGAGAUUCGCAUGGAUUUCUUAUCAAAGCUCCGGCGGUAUGAGAUGGACCCGCGUCUGAUUAGCUAGUUGGUAAGGUAACGGCUUACCAAGGCGACGAUCAGUAGCCGACCUGAGAGGGUGAUCGGCCACAUUGGAACUGAGACACGGUCCAAACUCCUACGGGAGGCAGCAGUGGGGAAUAUUGCACAAUGGGCGAAAGCCUGAUGCAGCAACGCCGCGUGAGCGAUGAAGGCCUUCGGGUCGUAAAGCUCUGUCCUCAAGGAAGAUAAUGACGGUACUUGAGGAGGAAGCCCCGGCUAACUACGUGCCAGCAGCCGCGGUAAUACGUAGGGGGCUAGCGUUAUCCGGAUUUAUUGGGCAUAAAGGGUGCGUAGGCGGCAAGUUAAGUUUAAGGUAUAAGCUCAUGGCUCAACCAUGGGAGGCUUUAGAAACUGGCUAGCUAGAGUGCAGUAGAGGCAAGUGGAAUUCCAUGUGUAGCGGUAAAAUGCGUAAAUAUAUGGAGGAACACCAGUAGCGAAGGCGGCUUGCUGGGCUGUAACUGACGCUAAGGCACGAAAGCGUGGGGAGAAGACAGGAUUAGAUACCCUGGUAGUCCACGCCGUAAACGAUGAGUACUAAGUGUCGGGGGAAUCUCGGUGCUGAAGCAAAUGUAAUAAGUACUCCGCCCGAGUAGUACGUGCGCAAGCAUGAAACUCAAAGGAAAAGACGGGACCCUGCACAAGCGGUGGAUCAUGUUGUUUAAUUCGAGGAUACGCGAAGAACCUUACCAGGCCUUGACAUCCUCUGCAAAGCUAUAGAGAUAUAGUGGAGGUUAACAGAGAGACAGGUGGUGCACGGUUGUCGUCAGCUCGUGUCGUGAGAUGUUGGGUUAAGUCCCGUAACGAGCGCAACCCCCGUUGCUAGUUGCCAUCAUUAAGUUGGGGACUCUAGCGAGACUGCCAGCGAUAAACUGGAGGAAGGCGGGGAGGACGUCAAAUCAUCAUGCCCCCUAUGGCCUGGGCUACAAACGUGAUACAAUGGCUGAAACAAAGAGAAGCGAAGGGGUGACCUGGAGCGGAACUCAUAAAAGCAGUCUCAGUUCGGAUUGGAGUCUGCAACUCGACUCCACGAAGUCGGAAUCGCUAGUAAUCGUAGGUCAGCAUACUACGCCGAAAAAGAUCUCGGGGUUUGCACAC
RNAcentral lists this ribosomal RNA (1352 nucleotides) under uncultured bacterium. RNAcentral describes it as "partial 16S ribosomal RNA". It matches the Rfam family "Bacterial small subunit ribosomal RNA". The record is from RNAcentral.